ACACUGAUGGUGAAACGGUAUCAUGCUUGCCUUCCACGCCUUGGGUAGCAAGCGGCGUGGGUUCGACUCCCGCUCAGUGUA
Lentinus tigrinus ALCF2SS1-7 is the source of this 81-nucleotide non-coding RNA. The record is from the annotation of a GenBank genome assembly. Lineage: Eukaryota; Fungi; Basidiomycota; Agaricomycetes; Polyporales; Polyporaceae.